UACGGAGGGUGCAAGCGUUAUCCGGAUUCACUGGGUUUAAAGGGUGCGUAGGCGGGCAGGUAAGUCAGUGGUGAAAUCUCCGGGCUUAACCCGGAAACUGCCGUUGAUACUAUCUGUCUUGAAUAUCGUGGAGGUAAGCGGAAUAUGUCAUGUAGCGGUGAAAUGCUUAGAUAUGACAUAGAACACCAAUUGCGAAGGCAGCUUACUUCACGAUUAUUGACACUGAGGCACGAAAGCGUGGGGAGCAAACAGG
RNAcentral lists this ribosomal RNA (253 nucleotides) under uncultured bacterium. RNAcentral describes it as "partial 16S ribosomal RNA". It matches the Rfam family "Bacterial small subunit ribosomal RNA", at positions 524 to 776 of the family's 1533-position model. The record is from RNAcentral.